CCACUUGGCUCAACGCGGCGGCAAAGGGAGGAAGUGUAGGUGGAGCGGCUAAACAUGUGUUUGUUUUGUCCUCAUCGUGGGUGUUUCAGGGUGUCUGCAGGAUCUCCCGUGCCACCAGAACGCCGAGACGCAGCGAUACCCUGUAGUGAAUGUUUGAGAUGAAGCGGUUUGGUUUUGUUGGUGGCAGUGAUGCUCCAACUCUGGCUGAGACCCUUUGGAAAUAUAAUCUUGAUGGAUGUGAUCAUCUCUGGUGUGUCUGAGCAAGAGUGCCUGGUCACCAAGGAGGUGAUAUGCAGCCAAACCUCUUGCAUCUUGCUGACCAGUGCCUUGGAUACAAUGAAAGCACUGCAACCAACAUUCAGCGAUGCCUUGUCAACAGUUUCCCUUGGUGGAUUGAUCAAGAUGAGUGCCCAAGCUUCCAGAAAGGUUGUGGGAACAAGAUAAAGAAGUGCAAUAGGUCUACAUGCACGUGAGUCUAGGGAAAGGUUGCUGCCUUCCUCCACAGUGUGCUUAAAUGAUGCCAGGGGGUUGGCACUCAGUACAUCACAACAGUACAUGCAGCAUCAGUUUGUCUUAAUAUGAACAGGGAAGGAUUUAGGUGAGAUGACCAGACGACAGAUGAGUGACUUCAGUCGGUGGGUGUCAGCAGAAGAAAUAGUGUAACUAAGAAUAUUGGAGUUACACAGCUUAGAGAGAAGUUCCUUACCUCCCUGCCCUUAAUUUUUUAUAUCCUCAAGAAACCAGAAUGCAUAACCACACCAGUGCACUGCUGCAUCAUGAAUAGGGUUUGUGAAGGAUUUAGGUGAGAUGACCAGACAACAGACGAGUGACUUCAGUCGGUGGGUGUCAGCAGAAGAAAUUGUGUAACUAAGAAUAUUGGAGUUAUACAGCUUAGAGAGAAGUUCCUUACCUCCCUGCCCUUAAUUUCUUAUAUCCUCAAGAAACCAGAAUGCAUAACCACACCAGUGCACUGCUGCAUCAUGAAUAGGGUUUGUGAAGGAUUUAGGUGAGAUGACCAGACAACAGAUGAGUGACUUCAGUCGGUGGGUGUCAGCAGAAGUUGUGUAACUAAGAAUAUUGGGGUUAUACAGCUUAGAGAAGUUCUUUACCUCCCUGCCCUUACUGUCUUCUUGUAUCUUCAAACUGGAAUGCAUAACCUCACCAAUGCACUGCUGCAUCAUGAACAAAACUUGUGAAGGAUCUGAGUCAAGUGGCCAUGAAGGAGACGAAUUUACUUGAAUGUUAGAUGUCAGUUGAAUGGAGGAAACAAAUGAUGGAGGUGUGUGUAGUAGGUUUUGGAGAAUUAACAAUAUCUUGGGUGAAUGAUUAAAGUAUCAUCUUGAGUAAGUCACUAUAGUAAGUAGUUAAUUAUAACACUAAAAAUACUAGGAUAUAGUAUAUCAGUAUACAAGUGCAUGCAAUGAUAUGGUGGCAUCAGAGGCUGGUAUGAGGUAAAGGUUGUGUUGAUAUUAACAAGGAAAGUAAUAAUGUGAAGAAUGGAAGCCCUAUUAAGUCAGAAUUUAUGGAAAAAGUAAUUUUUUUGCAAACAAAUUUUAUUAAUAAACUGCUAUUACCAUAAAUCCCAUGAUUAGGUUGUGAUGCCCAGGUUGAAUUGAUCACUUAGCAAGACCAAAAUUGGAGUGCAUGUUAUUUUGGGUUCAGUGAGAAAUUGGCUCAUUUGAGUAGAGGUAUCUUCACAGUAGACUGGUUGUGUAUUCCAUUAAGAGAACAGGAGGAUGGAAAUGUCAAUACUUAAACCUAUUGCAUGAAAAUGUGCACAAAUUUGUAUAGGUGUUAUAAAAUAAAUUGAUAAUGUAA
This is a long non-coding RNA of Scylla paramamosain (green mud crab), 1818 nucleotides long. RefSeq lists it as uncharacterized. The transcript has 9 exons. The record is from RefSeq and is a predicted model, not a curated record. NCBI's taxonomy places the organism in Eukaryota, Metazoa, Arthropoda, Malacostraca, Decapoda, Portunidae.